RNAcentral lists this ribosomal RNA (136 nucleotides) under Telopathes magnus. RNAcentral's name for it is "partial 5.8S ribosomal RNA". It matches the Rfam family "5.8S ribosomal RNA", at positions 1 to 135 of the family's 154-position model. Rfam says of the family: 5.8S ribosomal RNA (5.8S rRNA) is a component of the large subunit of the eukaryotic ribosome. Lineage: Eukaryota; Metazoa; Cnidaria; Anthozoa; Antipatharia; Schizopathidae. The record is from RNAcentral.
CAACUUUUAACGGUGGAUCUCUUGGUUCGUGCAUCGAUGAAGAACGCAGCCAGGUGCGAUAAGUAGUGUGAAUUGCAGAAUUCAGUGAAUCAUCGAAUCUUUGAACGCAAAUGGCGCUCUUGGGUUCUCCCAGGAG